GACGAACCGUGCGAACGUUGUUCGGAUUCACUGGGCUUAAAGGGCGCGUAGGCGGGCGAGCAGGUCCGCGGUGAAAGCCCCCGGCUCAACCGGGGGAGUGCCGCGGAUACCGCUCGCCUCGAGCGGUGCAGGGGCACGCGGAACUUCCGGUGGAGCGGUGAAAUGCGUAGAGAUCGGAAGGAACGCCGGUGGCGAAAGCGGCGUGCUGGGCACCUCCUGACGCUGAGGCGCGAAAGCCAGGGGAGCGAACGGG
This 253-nucleotide ribosomal RNA is filed under the name uncultured bacterium. Its description in RNAcentral is "partial 16S ribosomal RNA". It matches the Rfam family "Bacterial small subunit ribosomal RNA", at positions 524 to 776 of the family's 1533-position model. The record is from RNAcentral.